Molecule: ribosomal RNA, 917 nt
Filed under: uncultured bacterium
Lineage: Bacteria
Description: bacterial SSU rRNA
Rfam family: Bacterial small subunit ribosomal RNA
Source: RNAcentral
ACGCUGACAGAAUGCUUAACACAUGCAAGUCGAUGGGGAAGUGGUGCUUGCACCAUGGUAACCAUGGCGGACGGGUGAGUAACGCGUAAGGAACUUGCCUGCGGGACUGGGAUAACAGCAGGAAACUGCUGAUAAUACCGGAUAAGGUCAUUAAGCUGCAUAGCUUAGUGAUGAAAGGAGACGCCUGCGGAGAGCCUUGCGUCCUAUUAGCUAGUUGGAGGGGUAACGGCCCACCAAGGCGAAGAUAGGUAGCCGGCCUGAGAGGGUGGACGGCCACAAGGGGACUGAGAUACGGCCCUUACUCCUACGGGAGGCAGCAGUGGGGAAUAUUGGACAAUGGGGGCAACCCUGAUCCAGCAAUUCUGUGUGCACGAAGACGGUUUUCGGAUUGUAAAGUGCUUUCAGCAGGGAAGAAGUAAGUGACGGUACCUGCAGAAGAAGCGACGGCUAAAUACGUGCCAGCAGCCGCGGUAAUACGUAUGUCGCGAGCGUUAUCCGGAAUUAUUGGGCAUAAAGGGCAUCUAGGCGGCCUUCCAAGUCAGGGGUGAAAACCUGCGGCUCAACCGCAGGCCUGCCUUUGAAACUGAUAGGCUGGAGUACCGGAGAGGUGGACGGAACUGCACGAGUAGAGGUGAAAUUCGUAGAUAUGUGCAGGAAUGCCGAUGAUGAAGAUAGUUCACUGGACGGUAACUGACGCUGAAGUGCGAAAGCCGGGGGAGCGAACAGGAUUAGAUACCCUGGUAGUCCCGGCCGUAAACGAUGAUUACUGGGUGUGGGCAGGAAGACUGUCUGUGCCGAAGCGAAUGCGAUAAGUAAUCCGCCUGGGGAGUACGGCCGCAAGGCUGAAACUCAAAGGAAUUGACGGGGACCCGCACAAGCGGUGGAGCAUGUGGUUUAAUUCGACGCAACGCGAGGAA